Molecule: ribosomal RNA, 1208 nt
Filed under: Salmonella enterica
Lineage: Bacteria; Pseudomonadati; Pseudomonadota; Gammaproteobacteria; Enterobacterales; Enterobacteriaceae
Also listed under: 2 other names
Description: partial 23S ribosomal RNA
Rfam family: Bacterial large subunit ribosomal RNA
Source: RNAcentral
AAUCCAUAGGUUAAUGAGGCGAACCGGGGGAACUGAAACAUCUAAGUACCCCGAGGAAAAGAAAUCAACCGAGAUUCCCCCAGUAGCGGCGAGCGAACGGGGAGGAGCCCAGAGCCUGAAUCAGCAUGUGUGUUAGUGGAAGCGUCUGGAAAGGCGCGCGAUACAGGGUGACAGCCCCGUACACAAAAGCGCAUGUGCUGUGAGCUCGAUGAGUAGGGCGGGACACGUGGUAUCCUGUCUGAAUAUGGGGGGACCAUCCUCCAAGGCUAAAUACUCCUGACUGACCGAUAGUGAACCAGUACCGUGAGGGAAAGGCGAAAAGAACCCCGGCGAGGGGAGUGAAAAAGAACCUGAAACCGUGUACGUACAAGCAGUGGGAGCCCCACCACCAAAGCAUUUGCUGUACCGCGUUGACGGAGCGAAGCGACGUCAAACCGAUAAAACAGCAGUGUAAAGUGAGCCGCAGGGCGCUUUGCGCGACAGCGCAAAGGCAGGCGGUUUCGCGUAGCGAAAGCGAAUGCUUUGGGGUGGGGUGACUGCGUACCUUUUGUAUAAUGGGUCAGCGACUUAUAUUCUGUAGCAAGGUUAACCGAAUAGGGGAGCCGGAGGGAAACCGAGUCUUAAUUGGGCGUUAAGUUGCAGGGUAUAGACCCGAAACCCGGUGAUCUAGCCAUGGGCAGGUUGAAGGUUGGGUAACACUAACUGGAGGACCGAACCGACUAAUGUUGAAAAAUUAGCGGAUGACCUGUGGCUGGGGGUGAAAGGCCAAUCAAACCGGGAGAUAGCUGGUUCUCCCCGAAAGCUAUUUAGGUAGCGCCUCGUGAAUUCAUCUCCGGGGGUAGAGCACUGUUUCGGCUAGGGGGCCAUCCCGGCUUACCAACCCGAUGCAAACUGCGAAUACCGGAGAAUGUUAUCACGGGAGACACACGGCGGGUGCUAACGUCCGUCGUGAAGAGGGAAACAACCCAGACCGCCAGCUAAGGUCCCAAAGUCAUGGUUAAGUGGGAAACGAUGUGGGAAGGCCCAGACAGCCAGGAUGUUGGCUUAGAAGCAGCCAUCAUUUAAAGAAAGCGUAAUAGCUCACUGGUCGAGUCGGCCUGCGCGGAAGAUGUAACGGGGCUAAACCAUGCACCGAAGCUGCGGCAGCGACACUGUGUGUUGUUGGGUAGGGGAGCGUUCUGUAAGCCUGUGAAGGUGUGUCGUGAGGC